GCCAACUACGGCGCGUAGGCCUCGGUAAUGCGUGUGGGUCGAGCGUUGUCCGGAGUUAUUGUGCGUAAAGCGCGCUUAGGCGGUUUGGUAAGCCGGGUGUGAAACCCUCGAGCUCAACUCGGGGCGGCCACUCGGAACUGUCAUGACUCGAGUCAGGUAGGGGAACACGGAAUUCCAGGUGUAGCGGUGAAAUGCUUAGAUAUCUGGAGGAACACCAGUGGCGAAGGCGGUGUUCUGGGCCUGUACUGACGCUGAUGCGCGAAAGCGUGGGGAGCGAACAGGAUUAGAUACCCUUGUAGC
RNAcentral lists this ribosomal RNA (300 nucleotides) under uncultured Lactobacillus sp. RNAcentral describes it as "partial 16S ribosomal RNA". It matches the Rfam family "Bacterial small subunit ribosomal RNA", at positions 496 to 794 of the family's 1533-position model. Lineage: Bacteria; Bacillati; Bacillota; Bacilli; Lactobacillales; Lactobacillaceae. The record is from RNAcentral.